UACGGGGGGGGGCAAGCGUUUGUUCGGAAUUACUGGGCGUAAAGGGCGCGUAGGCGGCCUGCUAAGUCGGACGUGAAAUCCCUCGGCUCAACCGAGGAACUGCGUCCGAUACUGGUGGGCUUGAAUCCGGGAGAGGGAUGUGGAAUUCCAGGUGUAGCGGUGAAAUGCGUAGAUAUCUGGAGGAACACCGGUGGCGAAGGCGGCAUCCUGGACCGGUAUUGACGCUGAGGCGCGAAAGCUAGGGGAGCAAACGGG
RNAcentral lists this ribosomal RNA (255 nucleotides) under uncultured bacterium. Its description in RNAcentral is "partial 16S ribosomal RNA". It matches the Rfam family "Bacterial small subunit ribosomal RNA", at positions 524 to 776 of the family's 1533-position model. The record is from RNAcentral.